RNAcentral lists this ribosomal RNA (1437 nucleotides) under uncultured bacterium. RNAcentral's name for it is "partial 16S rRNA". It matches the Rfam family "Bacterial small subunit ribosomal RNA". The record is from RNAcentral.
AGAGUUUGAUCCUGGCUCAGAACGAACGCUGGCGGCAUGCCUAACACAUGCAAGUCGAACGAAGGCUUCGGCCUUAGUGGCGCACGGGUGCGUAACGCGUGGGAACCUGCCCCUCGGUUCGGAAUAACACAGAGAAAUUUGUGCUAAUACCGGAUGAUGACUUCGGUCCAAAGAUUUAUCGCCGAGGGAUGGGCCCGCGUAGGAUUAGCUUGUUGGUGGGGUAAUGGCCUACCAAGGCGACGAUCCUUAGCUGGUCUGAGAGGGUGAUCAGCCACACUGGGACUGAGACACGGCCCAGACUCCUACGGGAGGCAGCAGUGGGGAAUAUUGGACAAUGGGCGAAAGCCUGAUCCAGCAAUGCCGCGUGAGUGAUGAAGGCCUUAGGGUUGUAAAGCUCUUUUACCCGGGAUGAUAAUGACAGUACCGGGAGAAUAAGCUCCGGCUAACUCCGUGCCAGCAGCCGCGGUAAUACGGAGGGAGCUAGCGUUGUUCGGAAUUACUGGGCGUAAAGCGCACGUAGGCGGCUAUUCAAGUCGGGGGUGAAAGCCCGGGGCUCAACCCCGGAACUGCCCUCGAAACUAGAUAGCUAGAAUCUUGGAGAGGCGAGUGGAAUUCCGAGUGUAGCGGUGGAAUGCGCAGAUAUCUGGAGGAACACCAGUGGCGAAGGCGGCCUCCUGGACCAUUCCUGACACUCAGACGCGAAAGCUAGGGUAGCAAACGGGAUUAGAGACCCCGGUAGUCCUAGCCCUAAACGAUGUAGACUAGGCGUCGGUGGUUUAAUCACCAUCGGUGUCCAAGCUAACGCGAUAAGUCUACUGCCUGGGGACUACGGCCGCAAGGUUAAAACUCAAAGGAAUUGACGGGUCCCCGCACAAGCAGCGGAGCGUGUGGUUUAAUUCGUUGCUACACGAAGAACCUUACCUGGGUUUGACAUAGCAGUGGUAGGGAAGCGAAAGCGGACCGACCCUUCGGGGAGCUGUUACAGGUGUUGCAUGGCUGUCGUCAGCUCGUGCCGUGAGAUGUUCGGUUAAGUCCGCUAACGAGCGCAACCCGCGUUGUGUGUUACAAGUGUCACACAAUACCGCCGGUAUUAAGUCGGAGGAAGGUGCGGAUGACGUCAAGUCAGCAUGACCUUUAUAUCCAGGGCUACACACACGCUACAAUGGUCAGCACAAUAGGUUGCCAAGUCGUGAGACGGAGCCAAUCCUCCAAAGCUGGCCUCAGUUCAGAUUGUAGGCUGCAACCCGCCUGCAUGAAGUUGGAGUUGCUAGUAACCGCAGGUCAGCUAUACUGCGGUGAAUACGUUCCCGGGGAUUGUACACACCGCCCGUCAAGUCAUGGGAGCUGGCAACACCUGAAGCCGGUAUCCUAACCCGCAAGGGAGGGAGCUGUCGAAGGUGGGGUCGGUGACUGGGACUAAGUCGUAACAAGGUAACC